This 546-nucleotide small RNA is filed under the name uncultured fungus. RNAcentral's name for it is "eukaryotic LSU rRNA". The stretch from base 185 to 338 matches the Rfam family "5.8S ribosomal RNA". Lineage: Eukaryota; Fungi. The record is from RNAcentral.
AACCUGCGGAAGGAUCAUUAAAGAAUCGCCCCGUUUUUUGAAAUGGGUUCUAUUCCCAAACCGUGUAUACAUACCUUUGUUGCUUUGGCAGGCCGCCUUUUAGGCGUCGGCUCCGGCUGACUGCGCCUGUCAGAGGACUCAAACUCGUUUGUUUAGUGAUGUCUGAGUACUAUAUAAUAGUUAAAACUUUCAACAACGGAUCUCUUGGUUCUGGCAUCGAUGAAGAACGCAGCGAAAUGCGAUAAGUAAUGUGAAUUGCAGAAUUCAGUGAAUCAUCGAAUCUUUGAACGCACAUUGCGCCCCUUGGUAUUCCGAGGGGCAUGCCUGUUCGAGCGUCAUUAUAACCACUCAAGCCUCGGCUUGGUUUUGGGGUUCGCGGUCUCGCGUCCCCUAAAAUCAGUGGCGGUGCCGUCUGGCUCUAAGCGUAGUAAUUCUCUCGCUAUAGGGUCCCGGCGGUUGCCUGCCAGAACCCCCCAUUUUUUACGGUUGACCUCGGAUCAGGUAGGGAUACCCGCUGAACUUAAGCAUAUCAAUAAGCGGAGGAAA